Molecule: ribosomal RNA, 1000 nt
Filed under: Billgrantia desiderata
Lineage: Bacteria; Pseudomonadati; Pseudomonadota; Gammaproteobacteria; Oceanospirillales; Halomonadaceae
Description: bacterial SSU rRNA
Rfam family: Bacterial small subunit ribosomal RNA
Source: RNAcentral
AGUCGAGCGGCAGCACGGGAAGCUUGCUUCCUGGUGGCGAGCGGCGGACGGGUGAGUAAUGCAUAGGAAUCUGCCCGGUAGUGGGGGAUAACCUGGGGAAACCCAGGCUAAUACCGCAUACGUCCUACGGGAGAAAGCAGGGGCUCUUCGGACCUUGCGCUAUCGGAUGAGCCUAUGUCGGAUUAGCUGGUUGGUGAGGUAAUGGCUCACCAAGGCGACGAUCCGUAGCUGGUCUGAGAGGAUGAUCAGCCACAUCGGGACUGAGACACGGCCCGAACUCCUACGGGAGGCAGCAGUGGGGAAUAUUGGACAAUGGGCGCAAGCCUGAUCCAGCCAUGCCGCGUGUGUGAAGAAGGCCCUCGGGUUGUAAAGCACUUUCAGUGGGGAAGAACGCCUUCCGGUUAAUACCCGGGAGGAAAGACAUCACCCACAGAAGAAGCACCGGCUAACUCCGUGCCAGCAGCCGCGGUAAUACGGAGGGUGCGAGCGUUAAUCGGAAUUACUGGGCGUAAAGCGCGCGUAGGUGGCUUGAUAAGCCGGUUGUGAAAGCCCCGGGCUCAACCUGGGAACGGCAUCCGGAACUGUCAGGCUAGAGUGCAGGAGAGGAAGGUAGAAUUCCCGGUGUAGCGGUGAAAUGCGUAGAGAUCGGGAGGAAUACCAGUGGCGAAGGCGGCCUUCUGGACUGACACUGACACUGAGGUGCGAAAGCGUGGGUAGCAAACAGGAUUAGAUACCCUGGUAGUCCACGCCGUAAACGAUGUCGACUAGCCGUUGGGUCCUUCGCGGACUUUGUGGCGCAGUUAACGCGAUAAGUCGACCGCCUGGGGAGUACGGCCGCAAGGUUAAAACUCAAAUGAAUUGACGGGGGCCCGCACAAGCGGUGGAGCAUGUGGUUUAAUUCGAUGCAACGCGAAGAACCUUACCUACCCUUGACAUCCUGCGAAUCCGUCAGAGAUGAAGGAGUGCCUUCGGGAACCCAGAGACAGGUGCUGCAUGGCUG